UCCUUCCCUUCUGUUUGUAGCAGGUUAUUUAUGGUGUUUCUGUAAAAACCACUAUGGUCGUUAUUUAAAUUAAACAAAAGGGGGAAAUGUUAGAGUCUGUAAACAAGUCAAAAUAACACCUGGCAUUUUGCCAGAGGAAUGUUAGAGUUCGUAAACAAGUCUGGAUUGUGCCUGGCAAAAUGCCAGAGGGAGUGGUUUGAGAAGUAACAAAAGCGAGC
Molecule: long non-coding RNA, 218 nt
Filed under: Marmota monax (woodchuck)
Lineage: Eukaryota; Metazoa; Chordata; Mammalia; Rodentia; Sciuridae
Source: RNAcentral